CUGUGGUGGAUUCAUGUUGAUAUAUGGCAAAACCAAUACAAUAUUGUAAAGCUAAAAAAUAAAAUAAAAUAAAAAAAUAUUAAACUGAACAGAAAAAAAUAGUAAAAAGAAAAUAUAAAUAUUGUAAAAGAAGAGACAGUUAUUUUUACUUGCAGAUAAUAUAACUAUUUAGAAAAUCCAUGCAAACCAACUGAAAAAUGAGUUGAACUAAGAAGAGAAUUCAGCAAAUUGUUCAGAUACUAUACCCCAUUCGUAAGCAACUAUGAAAAUGUCAUGAGAAAAAACGAUGACAUUUAUUAAACUCUAAGCCACCCAGGAAUGACUAAAUGAAAAAAUGUUUAAGAUGUACCUGGGGGAAACAGAGCUGAAACAAUUUCCUAAAGAUUUAAGAAAGCUUUACUGAAGAACUGCUCAGACAUCUGUGUAGAGGGAGCUGUGAUAGGGCCCAUGUGGGUGAGAUGAGUCCACAUUAUCAUAUUUGACCAACAAAUUCCUAUCAAGAUUGUGGGUUUACUUUUUUCUUGGAUAGAUUUUCCAAAAUUGAAAGUAACAAUUCCCUCUACCUGUCAAAAUUAGAUGUUAUUUUAACCCCUUACCCUGACGAAUCCAAGCUGUUGUAUUUUCUAUAAUUUGAUUUACAGGUUUUGCAGAACUGAAAGCUAACCCUCAAAAUGACCUCAAGCCAUUUAUUCACUGGACAGUUGAAGUAUGUCAUACAAUAGUUGUAUCUUUUGGAAGGCGACUGCAAGGGUGAAGAUGGCUCUUGGCUGAUCUUUAGGCAGCAGGGGAAGACUGGUAUUGGCUGCAACAUGAUUUGGAAAGACCAGUGAUCAUAGAGCUGUGGAGUUAACUGCAUCCAAGAAUGCAGCUGGUUUCGAGGAACAUCCAUUCUCUGGUCACACAGAGAUAUUUUUCAACAUGUCUUGAGCACUGAGAUCAUGUGCUGCUUUGCUCCUUCCAGAGGGGAGUUUUCAGGGAAGGAACAGCGCCUCUGGAAGGGGGAACUGAU
This is a long non-coding RNA of Bos indicus x Bos taurus (hybrid cattle), 1009 nucleotides long. The record is from Ensembl. Lineage: Eukaryota; Metazoa; Chordata; Mammalia; Artiodactyla; Bovidae.